UUUCUUUGAAUCAUUAUUCAUUUUUUAUUAAUUUUAUUUACUUAUUUGUUUUUUUUACAAGUUGGCCUUUGAAUAAGUUCAGCUAUGCAACAAAAAAGACAAGACUCAUUAUCCUUUGAAUUCUGACUUGCUUAUAUCGUGACAAGUGUUUUAUAGAGUGAACCCAGGAUAAAACCUAGCAGUAAAAUAACAACCAAAAGGUAUGUAUACAUAUUUGAAAAGUUUUUAAGGCCUUUGCUGUUUCAAUUUGCCAUUCUAGCUUUGUCUUUGACAACUCCCAUGAUGUAACUAACCAUUUUUCUACAGAGUUCCGCUUCUGUAAAUAUAUCAUGCAGUUUCACAUUUCUGCAACUUUGUACCUGCUCUUCUCUCUGCCGGAAAUGCUCUUGACACACUUCCUGGCACAUGGUACGCUCCAACAAAGUGAGUUACACCUCUUCACUUCCUUUCCUGCCUGUGUUCUCUACACCCAAUGUGGAGCUCAAACUUGG
This 491-nucleotide long non-coding RNA is filed under the name Mustela putorius furo (domestic ferret). RNAcentral describes it as "lncRNA (ENSMPUG00000024024.1)". Lineage: Eukaryota; Metazoa; Chordata; Mammalia; Carnivora; Mustelidae. The record is from RNAcentral.